Molecule: long non-coding RNA, 2270 nt
Organism: Oncorhynchus kisutch (coho salmon)
Lineage: Eukaryota; Metazoa; Chordata; Actinopteri; Salmoniformes; Salmonidae
Source: Ensembl
AUGGUCAAUCAGGACUCGGAACACAAUGUGUGUCACGGUUGGCUGAAGGACUGGACCAAGGUGCAGCAUGGUGCCACUGUCGCUGUGGACUCCUGCUCUGACCGUCCGGCAGCUCCUGUCCUUAUCACCGACAUCACCACCCGGACCCGUAAAAAUACCCCCCCCCCCCACACACACACACCACUUUUGUUGCACAUCAUCAUUCAACGUAAAUGUGGGGUAAAGACAAACCUGGAAAAUCAAUGUGUAUCCAGUCUUGAUAGGCUAGGCUACUACACUAGGUCCAGGGCUGCAUCCCAAAUGAUUCCCCAUUCCCUACUACUUUUGACCAGGGCCCUGGUUAAAAAGAAGUGAACUAAAUAGGGAAGAGGGUCUGAACUAUAUAGGGAAUAUAUAUAGGACUAUAUGGGGAAUAUGGAAUGAUUUGGGACACAGCCCAGGACCCAGUGUAGUAGCCUAGUCUUUACCCCCACAUUUAAAUGGAAUGACGAUGAGCAGUGAAAGCAGAUAAUACAGCCUAAGUGCCCUCUUACUGCGAAGGCUUUCCAAAGUCUACUGGGAAGUGGGGGUAGCAGGUGUGUGUGUGUGUGUGUGUGUGUGUGUGUGUGUGUGUGUGUGUGUGUGUGUGAGAGAGAGAGAGAGAGAACGGGUUUUUGUGACGUGUGUUUCAGUACUUUAACUUCCUCUUAUCAUGAAGUCGUGACUGUCAGACCCAUUUCAUCCAGGAGAAUAAGUUCGGCAUCACACGGAGAGCAGCAGGAGCCUCCAACUGCCUCGAGGCACUGAUAAAAUACACCAUCACGCGCUCUCCAGGCACACUGGGGAGCUAGCGGGCAGCCCACGUGCAGUUAGUGGUCCAAAACACUUUCUUCAAACAACGCAAUUGUUAACUAUACAAUCCUCACAGUUUACGUGGAUACAGUCCUGCAGCAAUUGUUAAACAAUUCUGCUGAAAAUAUGAAAAAUAAGGUAGACUAGGUUUAUUUAUUUAAGAUAUAUUUUAAUUUAUCCAUGUAUUAGCCUACAUCUGGCAGGCUAUCCCCUGCGUGUGAGGGGUCAGUCUAGCUGUCAAUGCAAGUCGAAUAUUGGGGAAUAAUUCCAGGCGCAAUUUGGAAAUAUGGUUCUCUGUUGAGUUGAGUUUUGUAACAGAGUAGCGCAGGCAUCCGUCCUCUCUCAGGCUUCCACCGGGUCACGUGACGCGUUCCAUUUCAGUUCGAAGCUCAGAGCGUUCUAACCCCGAAUCGUCCACGGAGCCAGCCCGAGUUUUAACGACAAUAAUUCUCUUAGACAUAGACCUACGGGAUAUAUUUAUAUGCCUAUCAUUUAUGAUACAUUUGGUGUGUAAAAAAAACAGUUCCAACUGAAAAAGAGAGGUUCGUCAUUUAUGCUUAUAAACGUGGCGUAGGGAAUACUGAGUGAAAUGUAGCCUAAACAGUUGCAAAAACAUAUUUCUCGGUUCUGUAGACAUGCGUAGCAUGGUAGAAUAGGGACACCGAUCGAAUUUAGCUCAAAUAUCAACGCGGCGAGUUUGUGGCGUUUGGCUGAAACCGCAAGUCUGAGGAAAGGCGCGGGCCACUCCGACGGACGACGAGGAUACGACGUGAUUUUGUUUCAAUAACAGAGUUACAGGGAAUUUCAAUGUGAUCCAUUACGUCCAUCGACAUGUUAGCACAUUAAUCUGUACGCAUUCGAUUUCAAUUUGUUAUUGUGACACACCACUCGAAAGUGGAGGGGCAAAGAUCAGAUCAGGACUGAGUGCACGUGUUUGUGAGAAUUACCGGAGACGCAGACAUCUAAACGGAUCGGUUCGUACUCUACAAAGACCACGACGCGGUUAAUUUCUGACGACUUCGAUGGUGUAUGAACGCGUUGACAGUCCUGGAUCUACAGCUGCGCUUUGCCGUCAACUUUUGACACUCUCUCCCGGAGAUAAUAACCCCACUCCGGCACACCCCCAUCCAAGUUCUGAGCGUCGGAUUCCGGGGAAGGGAAGAAGGGCACGGAGGAGAUAUGGCGGUGACCGUGACUUUAUCGCUCUCUCUUCUUCUCUUAUCUCUCUCAAGUAAGUAGCCUUAAUGGUAAACCGUUUGUGUUUGUAAAUGUCAUGUUUUGCACGCAGAAGACUAACUCAAAAUGAACGCUGCUCGGGUUGCCAACAUUGUUUUUAAAUUAGGCAAUGUCAUGAAGUCGUUUGUGAAAUACAUCUAGGCUAUAAACUACAGACUGAAAUAAAACGCUUUUCGAAAUGUAUUUGGAUAGGCUAUUACUCC